UUGAACGCUGGCGGCAUGCCUUACACAUGCAAGUCGAACGGCAGCACGGGAGCAAUCCUGGUGGCGAGUGGCGAACGGGUGAGUAAUAUAUCGGAACGUGCCCAGUCGUGGGGGAUAACGUAGCGAAAGCUACGCUAAUACCGCAUACGAUCUAUGGAUGAAAGCGGGGGGAUCGCAAGACCUCGCGCGAUUGGAGCGGCCGAUAUCAGAUUAGGUAGUUGGUGAGGUAAAGGCUCACCAAGCCGACGAUCUGUAGCUGGUCUGAGAGGACGACCAGCCACACUGGGACUGAGACACGGCCCAGACUCCUACGGGAGGCAGCAGUGGGGAAUUUUGGACAAUGGGCGCAAGCCUGAUCCAGCAAUGCCGCGUGCAGGAUGAAGGCCUUCGGGUUGUAAACUGCUUUUGUACGGAACGAAACGGUGAGCUCUAAUACAGUUUGCUAAUGACGGUGCCGUAAGAAUAAGCACCGGCUAACUACGUG
Molecule: ribosomal RNA, 484 nt
Filed under: uncultured bacterium
Lineage: Bacteria
Description: bacterial SSU rRNA
Rfam family: Bacterial small subunit ribosomal RNA
Source: RNAcentral